UAUUGCGCAAUGGGGGCAACCCUGACGCAGCCAUGCCGCGUGAAUGAAGAAGGCCUUCGGGUUGUAAGUUCUUUCGGUGAUGAGGAAGGAGGAUGUUUAAAUAGGGCAUUCAAUUGACGUUAAUCACAGAAGAAGCACCGGCUAACUCCGUGCCAGCAGCCGCGGUAAUACGGAGGGUGCGAGCGUUAAUCGGAAUAACUGGGCGUAAAGGGCACGCAGGCGGAUAAUUAAGUGAGAUGUGAAAUCCCCGAGCUUAACUUGGGAAUUGCAUUUCAUACUGGUUAUCUAGAGUCUUGUAGAGAGGGGUAGAAUUCCACGUGUAGCGGUGAAAUGCGUAGAGAUGUGGAGGAAUACCGGAGGCGAAGGCGGCCCCUGGACAAAGACUGACGCUCAUUGCGAAA
Molecule: ribosomal RNA, 401 nt
Filed under: uncultured bacterium
Lineage: Bacteria
Description: bacterial SSU rRNA
Rfam family: Bacterial small subunit ribosomal RNA
Source: RNAcentral